RNAcentral lists this ribosomal RNA (652 nucleotides) under Enterobacter hormaechei. Its description in RNAcentral is "partial 23S ribosomal RNA". The record is from RNAcentral. Lineage: Bacteria; Pseudomonadati; Pseudomonadota; Gammaproteobacteria; Enterobacterales; Enterobacteriaceae.
GGUUAAGCGACUAAGCGUACACGGUGGAUGCCCUGGCAGUCAGAGGCGAUGAAGGACGUGCUAAUCUGCGAAAAGCGCCGGCGAGGUGAUAUGAACCYUUGACCCGGCGAUGUCCGAAUGGGGAAACCCAGUGCAAUCCGUUGCACUAUCGUUAACUGAAUACAUAGGUUAACGAGGCGAACCGGGGGAACUGAAACAUCUAAGUACCCCGAGGAAAAGAAAUCAACCGAGAUUCCCCCAGUAGCGGCGAGCGAACGGGGAGCAGCCCGGAGUCUGAAUCAGCUUGUGUGUUAGUGGAACGGUCUGGAAAGUCCGACGGUACAGGGUGAUAGUCCCGUACACGAAAGCACACUUGCUGUGAACUCGAAGAGUAGGGCGGGACACGUGGUAUCCUGUCUGAAUAUGGGGGGACCAUCCUCCAAGGCUAAAUACUCCUGACUGACCGAUAGUGAACCAGUACCGUGAGGGAAAGGCGAAAAGAACCCCGGCGAGGGGAGUGAAAAAGAACCUGAAACCGUGUACGUACAAGCAGUGGGAGCCUCUUUAUGGGGUGACUGCGUACCUUUUGUAUAAUGGGUCAGCGACUUAUAUUCUGUAGCAAGGUUAACCGUAUAGGGGAGCCGAAGGGAAACCGAGUCUUAACUGGGCGUUA